Suricata suricatta (meerkat) is the source of this 164-nucleotide long non-coding RNA. RefSeq lists it as uncharacterized. The record is from RefSeq and is a predicted model, not a curated record. The transcript is spliced from 3 exons. Lineage: Eukaryota; Metazoa; Chordata; Mammalia; Carnivora; Herpestidae.
GUUCAGGGGGAACAGGAACACUGUGUCCGCCUUUCCCCGGGACAGGCUCCCCUGGCUUCAGAGACCAACAUUCCCACGUCUUCGAUCAGCGUUCCACGCCAUGGAUUUACACCCCCUGCCCCAGAGCCAUGGUCCUCAGCCUUGGCUGUAAGGAAAUGGACGCU